AAUAGAUACCCCGGUAGUCCACGCCCUAAACGAUGUCUACUAGUUGUUGGUGGAGUAAAAUCCAUUAGUAACGCAGCUAACGCGUGAAGUAGACCGCCUGGGGAGUACGGUCGCAAGAUUAAAACUCAAAGGAAUUGACGGAGGCCCGCACAAGCGGUGGAUUAUGUGGAUUAAUUCGAUGCAACGCGAAAAACCUUACCUGGCCUUGACAUGCCACUAACGAAGCAGAGAUGCAUUAGGUGCCCGAAAGGGAAAAUGGACACAGGUGCUGCAUGGCUGUCGUCAGCUCGUGUCGUGAGAUGUUGGGUUAAGUCCCGCAACGAGCGCAACCCUUGCCAAUAAUUGCCAUCAUUCAGUUGGGCACUUUAUUGGGACUGCCGGUGACAAACCGGAGGAAGGUGGGGAUGACGUCAAGUCCUCAUGGCCCUUAUGGCCAGGGGCUUCACACGUAAUACAAUGGUCGGUACAGAGGGUAGCCAAGCCGCGAGGUGGAGCCAAUCCCAGAAAGCCGAUCGUAGUCCGGAUUGCAGU
Molecule: ribosomal RNA, 531 nt
Filed under: uncultured bacterium
Lineage: Bacteria
Description: bacterial SSU rRNA
Rfam family: Bacterial small subunit ribosomal RNA
Source: RNAcentral